GGGGAAUAUUGCACAAUGGGCGAAAGCCUGAUGCAGCGACGCCGCGUGAGGGAUGACGGCCUUCGGGUUGUAAACCUCUUUCAGCACGGAAGAAGCGAAAGUGACGGUACGUGCAGAAGAAGCGCCGGCUAACUACGUGCCAGCAGCCGCGGUAAUACGUAGGGCGCAAGCGUUGUCCGGAAUUAUUGGGCGUAAAGAGCUCGUAGGCGGUUUGUCGCGUCUGCUGUGAAAGCCCGGGGCUUAACCCCGUGGUGUGCAGUGGGUACGGGCAGACUAGAGUGCAGUAGAGGAGACUGGAAUUCCAGGUGUAGCGGUGAAAUGCGCAGAUAUCAGGAGGAACACCGAUGGCGAAGGCAGGUCUCUGGGCUGUUACUGACGCUGAGGAGCGAAAGCAUGGGGAGCGAAC
This 406-nucleotide ribosomal RNA is filed under the name uncultured bacterium. RNAcentral's name for it is "bacterial SSU rRNA". It matches the Rfam family "Bacterial small subunit ribosomal RNA", at positions 356 to 773 of the family's 1533-position model. The record is from RNAcentral.